GUGUCACUGAUCUUUAGUUAUUCACCCCUUCUUAGUGUUUGGACCCUUGAAAAGUACCUGUUCUUACUCCUGCAACCAAAUAGUAGCAUGUACAUGUGGAACUAGGUUAUAUGUACCUAUAUUACUACUUUGUUUGGUUGUUUUCUCCCAAAAUGAGUCUUAUGUUGACGGUUAUGAUAGUAGAAAACAUGGUAUAAAUACCGUCAACAAGACCCCCCACACUUGAGUCUUUGCUCGUCCUUGAGUAAAGGUUAAAAAUGAGUGAUCAAUGGUUUCUAACUUAAGAUAGUAGUGAGCAUAAAAUGCUAGUUCGAACAUAGUUCAUCCAAAUGGGUUUUUGUGUAAGUGUCUAGCAUAUAUCCUUCAGAGGUUGAGAAAAGGAACAACUCUCAGAACAAGAUCAAAUUCCAAUUUCAUAUUCUUGGUACUUAGAGUUUUUAUGACACUUUUUAAAAUAAGUCACAUAGUUCAAUCCUACUCCUCAUUUAGCGCUCUAGAUCACUCAAAGUUUUUUUUUAGUAGUCCUCACCAAGGCAUGAAUGCCAACUUGUUUCAUCCUAUAAUUAUAGGCUUAUAUGGGGCUUGGUAGGGAUAAACAAGGUAGCAUACUCUACUUUGCAAAUAUUGUUAAGUCAAAAACAAGGAUCCAAAGAGAGGAGUGUCAUAGUCAUAGAUCAAGAUGUGCAAGUGUGUUAUAUGGUAGACUAGGUUGCUCCUUUAUUUACUACACUCUCUCUACUUGUAUAUUGAGACAUGGCUAGAUUUUCUUUUUCUUCGAGCUUUAUGUGCUCAAUUUUUUUUUCAUGGACUUGCACAUGUCCAUCUUUUCUUUUUCUUUUAUUUUGCCAAGCCCUUUUAUGUCUCAUUUUCUAAACAAUAUUUAGAGAGGUGUUCUAACACUUAGAGUAUGGAGCAACCUAUUUAGUGGAUGCACAAUACAUGUGGUUGCGUACUUCCAGUGUAGAAGCAGCAUAUAUAUAUGUGGUGUGUACGUGAUCUUGAUCUUGUGACUAUGAUACAACUCUCACUAGGGUCAACAAGGUUUUGACAAAACUCAUUACAAAAGCAGGUUGCAUUUCAUAAAAUGGUUACUUGAAUAUCUAAGUGUAUGGCUUUUAGUGGGAAUUUCUUGCUAAUGAGGAGUAAAUGAUACUAUGGUUUUGUGAUAUUUUUGAAACGAAUCUCUAAGUACCUUGAAUAGAAAUGUUAUGAAUUCUUAGCCAAGAGUUAUAUCACUUUCAUCAACAACUUAGUCAAUAUGGUUCCUAUAGAUUUUUACCCAUGAGGAUGAACAAUUGUAAGAACUAUACUUUAUGUCACUAUUUCUCUUAAAUCAUGUACCAGUUCACUUUUUAUUUUGCAAACAAGUUUAAACUAUCAAAUUUUAUUUUAAUUGUGACACAAAGGUAAAGAAUUGGACAGACUGAGAGGGGGAAGAAUUAGCAAACCGGGCAGGAAAGAUGUCUUUCGUCGUAUAGAAGCUGCCUGGUGGGCCCAGGGCUCCAUGGAAGGGUCGGCCGACCCCACCUGGAGGUUCCUGGCCCUGCCACUCGAUUCUACGUCCCUCGGGAAGUCUUUCUGCACUUGUGUCGUUUCCUUUUGCCAUAGAAAGGGGGUCGGGCGACCCCCUCAUCGCGCCUGUUUUUGGUGCCAUGACGUGCCGAGGUGUAUGCAGUGUUGUUCCAUGCCCACGGCAGUUCAGAGAUGAAGUUGGGGGGUCGGGCGACCCCCCCACACUUGCAGUUUUCGUGCAGCUGAACUUACAACAGAGAGAGAUGAUCAA
This 1783-nucleotide long non-coding RNA is filed under the name Sorghum bicolor (sorghum). RNAcentral describes it as "long non-coding RNA (SBIC_LNC017973)". Lineage: Eukaryota; Viridiplantae; Streptophyta; Magnoliopsida; Poales; Poaceae. The record is from RNAcentral.